UACAGAGGUCUCAAGCGUUGUUCGGAUUCAUUGGGCGUAAAGGGCGCGUAGGCGGGCCCGCAAGUCAGGGGUGAAAUCCCACGGCUCAACCGUGGAAGUGCCUUUGAUACUGCGGGUCUGGAGGGAGGUAGGGGCGUGCGGAACUUCCGGUGGAGCGGUGAAAUGCGUAGAUAUCGGAAGGAACACCGGUGGCGAAAGCGGCGCGCUGGACCUCUACUGACGCUGAGGCGCGAAAGCCAGGGGAGCAAACGGG
RNAcentral lists this ribosomal RNA (253 nucleotides) under uncultured bacterium. RNAcentral describes it as "partial 16S ribosomal RNA". It matches the Rfam family "Bacterial small subunit ribosomal RNA", at positions 524 to 776 of the family's 1533-position model. The record is from RNAcentral.